Canis lupus familiaris (dog) is the source of this 1100-nucleotide long non-coding RNA. RefSeq lists it as uncharacterized. The transcript is spliced from 5 exons. NCBI's taxonomy places the organism in Eukaryota, Metazoa, Chordata, Mammalia, Carnivora, Canidae. The record is from RefSeq and is a predicted model, not a curated record.
GGCGCUCCGGGGCACCCUGAAGUGCUUGCAGCCCCUGGGACCAGAGGCCGGGAAAGGGAGCAGAGGCUGCCCACAGCCCACCCAGGGGGCCUGGCAGGAGGCUGUAGUCUGCCCCAGAGGGACUCAGGGCCCGAGCCUUUCCCCCUCACAGCCGGAGGGUCCCAGGGCGACACCCAGCUCUCCCGGAGAAUGGGACAGCAUCGUGUGAGAGGCACAGUGGCUGGGGGGGGGGCAGAGGAGGACGCACCGGUCACCCAGUUGCACCACAAAGUCAGCCUCCAGGAUCCUCACACCCUCUGCUCUCCCACCAGGGCCCUGCAGCGCCACCAAGGAACUGCCACUAGAACUGCCAUUGGCCACCCCAUCCACUACCACUGUGACUCCCAACCCAGUUUUCAAUCCUGGGCUCUGUCUCCAGGGCACUGAGACUCCGGGAUGGCUUCGUGGAGGAGGUGCCCUUUGAAACCUGAACUAUGAACAUGAGUUGGCCAAAGCGUAGAGGAAGAAUGUUCCAGACUGGGACUCCCAGUCUGUAAGACAACACAGGAUUCCUCCCACCGUGUGUUUGGUCAGCAUCCUUAGGACAAAGCCAGAGGGGGAAAAAAUCGAAUUCAGGCUUGCCUUGAGCCACGGAACAGUUUGACUCCCUUAUGAUUUGCCAUUGUGAGGAGAAAAAAAAUUAGCUAAACAAGAUGUGUUUCUGGGAGAGAGUUUUCAUUAGUGGAAUAUCCUGAUUGCAAAGCCCCUUCCCCUUCCAAGUUAGUGGGGAUUUGAAAAGAUUCCAUUCCUUUCCUAGACCUUGUUUCCAUCAGAUGGAGAAUUAAGCCCAAAGAGCGCUUAAAUUAAUGAAUGAGCUUGUUCCCCAUUUUAACAUACAAACUUGGGGGAGGGGGUGCGUGGCAACAAGAGUCAACCAUUCAUUUUGCCAUUUCCGUUUAUUCUGCUAAUUUUUAAGGCUGUGCAACUUUUAGGGGAAAUUAAAUCCCUAGUGCCUGACUCAUUUUACACCAGGCUCAUCAAGAUGUGGCUUUCGAGGCCGCUUUGAAGUCUCAAGACUAGACGUGUGGUCAAGGGCCCACAUGCCUCUAAGUGCACUGGAA